Molecule: transfer RNA, 72 nt
Rfam family: tRNA
About the family: Transfer RNA (tRNA) molecules are approximately 80 nucleotides in length.
Source: Rfam
GCGGAAGUAGUUCAGUGGUAGAACAUCAGCUUGCCAUGCUGGGGGUCGCGGGUUCGAAUCCCGUCUUCCGCU